GCGCCCGUAGCUCAGUUGGAUAGAGUGACAGACUCCGACUCUGUAGGCCACUGGUUCGAAUCCAGCCGGGCGUA
Molecule: transfer RNA, 74 nt
Filed under: Oscillibacter sp. CAG:155
Lineage: Bacteria; Bacillati; Bacillota; Clostridia; Eubacteriales; Oscillospiraceae
Also listed under: 2 other names
Rfam family: tRNA
About the family: Transfer RNA (tRNA) molecules are approximately 80 nucleotides in length.
Source: Rfam by way of RNAcentral